RNAcentral lists this unclassified non-coding RNA (287 nucleotides) under plant metagenome. RNAcentral describes it as "partial contains small subunit ribosomal RNA, internal transcribed spacer 1, and 5.8S ribosomal RNA". The stretch from base 1 to 52 matches the Rfam family "Eukaryotic small subunit ribosomal RNA", at positions 1778 to 1831 of the family's 1831-position model. The record is from RNAcentral.
GGAAGUAAAUCGUAACAAGGUUUCCGUAGGUGAACCUGCGGAAGGAUCAUCAUCGUACAAAAUGUGAGGGGCAUGCGAGGGCUGUCGCUGACCCAAACGUCGUGCACGCCCGAGUGUGUCCUCUUGCAUAAUAAUCCAUCUCACCCUUUGUGCAUCACCGCGUGGGCGCCCUUCGGGAUCAUCUCGGAGGGGGGCUCGCGUUUUCACACAAACCCCCCUUUUAAAAGUGUAGAAUGACCACAUUUAUGCAAUCAAUACAACUUUCAACAACGGAUCUCUUGGCUCUC